This 253-nucleotide ribosomal RNA is filed under the name uncultured bacterium. RNAcentral describes it as "partial 16S ribosomal RNA". It matches the Rfam family "Bacterial small subunit ribosomal RNA", at positions 524 to 776 of the family's 1533-position model. The record is from RNAcentral.
UACGGAGGGUGCAAGCGUUAUCCGGAUUUACUGGGUUUAAAGGGUGCGUAGGUGGGUUGGGAAGUCAGUGGUGAAAUACUUUCGCUUAACGAAGGAACUGCCAUUGAUACUAUCAAUCUUGAAUGUAGUGGAGGUAGGCGGAAUGCGUCAUGUAGCGGUGAAAUGCUUAGAUAUGACGCAGAACACCAAUUGCGAAGGCAGCUAACUACGCGAUAAUUGACGCUGAGGCACGAAAGCGUGGGGAUCAAACAGG